CCUACGGGAGGCAGCAGUGAGGAACAUUGGUCAAUGGGCGAGAGCCUGAACCAGCCAAGUCGCGUGAGGGAGUACUGCCCUAUGGGUUGUAAACCUCUUUUGUCGGGGAGCAAAAGCCGGACGUGUCCGGCUGUGAGAGUACCCGAAGAAAAAGCAUCGGCUAACUCCGUGCCAGCAGCCGCGGUAAUACGGAGGAUGCGAGCGUUAUCCGGAUUUAUUGGGUUUAAAGGGUGCGCAGGCGGAUUUUUAAGUCAGCGGUAAAAUCGUGGGGCUCAACCCCAUCCAGCCGUUGAAACUGGGGAUCUAGAGUGUGCGAGAGGUAUGCGGAAUGCGUGGUGUAGCGGUGAAAUGCAUAGAUAUCACGCAGAACCCCGAUUGCGAAGGCAGCAUACCGGUGCUCAACUGACGCUCAGGCACGAAAGCGUGGGUAUCGAACAGGAUUAGAUACCCUGGUAGUC
RNAcentral lists this ribosomal RNA (458 nucleotides) under uncultured bacterium. Its description in RNAcentral is "partial 16S ribosomal RNA". It matches the Rfam family "Bacterial small subunit ribosomal RNA", at positions 338 to 795 of the family's 1533-position model. The record is from RNAcentral.